CCUACGGGAGGCAGCAGUGAGGAAUAUUGGUCAAUGGGCGCGAGCCUGAACCAGCCAAGUCGCGUGAGGGAGGACGGCCCUACGGGUUGUAAACCUCUUUUGCCGGGGAGCAACGGGCGUCACGUGUGGCGCCACUGAGAGUACCCGGAGAAAAAGCAUCGGCUAACUCCGUGCCAGCAGCCGAGGUAAUACGGAGGAUGCGAGCGGUAUCCGGCUUUAUUGGGGUUAAAGGGUGCGUAGGCGGAUCGGUAAGUCAGUGGUCAAAUUGAGGGGCUCACCCCCUGCCCGCCAUUGAAACUGGCGUUCUUGAGUGGAAGAGAAGUAUGCGGAAUGCGUGGUGUAGCGGUGAAAUGCAUAGAUAUCACGCAGAACCCCGAUUGCGAAGGCAGCAUGCCGGCUUCCGACUGACGCUGAAGCACGAAAGCGUGGGGAUCGAACAGGAUUAGAUACCCUAGUAGUC
Molecule: ribosomal RNA, 460 nt
Filed under: uncultured bacterium
Lineage: Bacteria
Description: partial 16S ribosomal RNA
Rfam family: Bacterial small subunit ribosomal RNA
Source: RNAcentral